AGAGGGUAAUGGCCCUCAGUAACGGCGAGUGAAGCGGCAACAGCUCAAAUUUGAAAGCUAGCCUUCGGGUUCGCAUUGUAAUUUGUAGAGGAUGCUUUGGGUAAAACGCCAGUCUAAGUUCCUUGGAACAGGACGUCAUAGAGGGUGAGAAUCCCGUAUGUGACUGGAAAUGUUAACCUAUGUAAAGCUCCUUCGACGAGUCGAGUUGUUUGGGAAUGCAGCUCUAAAUGGGAGGUAAAUUUCUUCUAAAGCUAAAUAUUGGCGAGAGACCGAUAGCGCACAAGUAGAGUGAUCGAAAGAUGAAAAGCACUUUGGAAAGAGAGUUAAAAAGCACGUGAAAUUGUUGAAAGGGAAGCGCUUGCAAUCAGACUUGUUUAAACUGUUCGGCCGGUCUUCUGACCGGUUUACUCAGUUUGGACAGGCCAGCAUCAGUUUCGGCGGCCGGAUAAAGGCUCUGGGAAUGUGGCCUCCACUUCGGUGGAGGUGUUAUAGCCCAGUGUGUAAUACGGCCAGCCGGGACUGAGGUCCGCGCUUCGGCUAGGAUGCUGGCGUAAUGGUUGUAAGCGACCCGUCUUGAACAA
This 581-nucleotide ribosomal RNA is filed under the name Aureobasidium pullulans. RNAcentral describes it as "eukaryotic LSU rRNA". It matches the Rfam family "Eukaryotic large subunit ribosomal RNA", at positions 56 to 661 of the family's 3401-position model. Lineage: Eukaryota; Fungi; Ascomycota; Dothideomycetes; Dothideales; Saccotheciaceae. The record is from RNAcentral.